This is an RNA transcript of Ceratosolen solmsi marchali, 1486 nucleotides long. It is a transcript of the gene named alpha-1,3-mannosyl-glycoprotein 2-beta-N-acetylglucosaminyltransferase, with no coding region annotated. NCBI's taxonomy places the organism in Eukaryota, Metazoa, Arthropoda, Insecta, Hymenoptera, Agaonidae. The record is from RefSeq and is a predicted model, not a curated record. The transcript is spliced from 11 exons.
UUAAAUUUUCAAAGAACAAAAGAAUGCUUGUUUUAUUGGAUACGUGUUUGUGUUUAGUUUUAAAAUAGUUGUAUUUAGUGAUUAUUCAUUGUAAUAAUAAUUGUGUGUGGUUUCUAGAAGAGAAAGUAAAAACUUUAUAGUUGCAAAUCGGAAAUUUGAUAAUGUGAUGUUAAAAUGCGGAACCGAUCUAUCAGUCUUGUAUUUAUAACUCUUAUACUAUGGGCCAUUGUGACUUAUUUUUUAAUUUUUUAUAAAUCAAAUAAGAAUAAAUCGAAGUACAAAUUUGGAUUGCAAAUGAAUAAAUUAGAAAACGAAAUAAAUGAGCUCAUCUCAAUUAAUGCACAACUUCUACAAGAAUUUAAUAUACAACACAUACAAAGCUAUAAUAAGUAUGAAAAUGCAACAUAUAAAGUCAAUUCACUUCAUAAUAAGAAUUAUUCAUUAAAAACACGCGAAUUUAUGAAAGUUUAUGAUGAAAAUAAAAGAAAAUCUAUAGUGCGGAGUGAUUUUCACAAUACAACAGACGUUUCGCAACCAGAUCAAAGCGAUAUUGACGUACCACCUAUAGAAAAAAAAUUUAAAGGAUAUUUUAAAAUAGCAAGACAUUAUGGAUGGGCAUUAAAUGAGAUUUUUUUUAAAUUUGCGUAUGAAACAGCAAUUGUAAUUGAAGAUGAUUUAGAUAUAGCUCCAGAUUUUUUCGAAUAUUUCUUGGGUACACAUUUCUUAUUAACAGCAGAUCCGUCAUUAUGGUGCAUAUCAGCAUGGAAUGAUAAUGGAAAAUCUGAUUUAGUUGAUUUAAAAAGUCCACAUUUAUUAUACAGAACUGAUUUUUUUCCUGGCUUGGGAUGGAUGUUGACUAGAAAUCUUUGGCAAGAAUUAUCUCCUAAAUGGCCCAAAUCUUAUUGGGAUGACUGGAUUCGAGAACCCGAACAAAGAAAAAAUCGUUCAUGUAUAAGACCAGAACUAUCACGUACUCGAACAUUUGGAAAGUUUGGUGUUAGCAACGGACUAUUCUAUGAAAAGCAUUUACAAUUUAUUAAACUUAAUCAGCAACUUGUGCCUUUCACUAAAAUGAAUUUAACGUAUUUAUUAAAAGAAUAUUAUGAUCAUGCUUUUGUUAAUGAAGUAUAUAAAUCAGAAGUAGUAGCACAUACUGAUUUAAAAGCAAAUAAAAUUACUCCUUUGGGAUCAAUUCGAUUACCAUAUUAUACUCGUCAAACUUAUAAAACUGUUGCAAAAAUAUUUGGACUUAUGGAUGAUUUCAAAGUUUGAAGUGAGUACUCAGUUUAUUUCAUAAUUGUUUGAGACACUGGGCGUUCGAAUUGCGAGAAUUUUCUUCCGGGGCUGUUGCUGCAUAGCUUAUUGCUUGAUGUUCAGUUCAAUUGCACAACAGCUGCUGUGGAGAAAUGAGUGGUGUACCAAGAACAGGAUAUCGAGGAAUAGUUACAUUUUUUUAUGGUGGCCGCAGAGCAUAUUUAACUCCAAC